Molecule: ribosomal RNA, 389 nt
Filed under: uncultured eukaryote
Lineage: Eukaryota
Description: SSU rRNA
Rfam family: Eukaryotic small subunit ribosomal RNA
Source: RNAcentral
AGCUCCAGUAGCGUAUAUUAAAGUUGUUGCAGUUAAAAAGCUCGUAGUUGGAUUUCUGGUUGACCACCCUGGCCCGCGUCCUCACGGGCGUGUGUGCUGGUGUGAGUCUUCCAUCCUUCUAGAGAGCCGUGCCUGCUGUUCACUCAGCUGGGCGUGUGCGAUCUAGAUCAUUUACUUUGAAAAAAUUAGAGUGUUUAAAGCAGGCUUAUGCCAGAAUACAUUAGCAUGGAAUAAUAAAAUAGGACUUUGGUUCUAUUUUGUUGGUUUCUAGAACUGAAGUAAUGAUUGAUAGGGAUAGUUGGGGGUGCUAGUAUUCCGUGGCCAGAGGUGAAAUUCUUGGAUUCACGGAAGACUAACUACUGCGAAAGCAUUCACCAAGGAUGUCUUCU